CUCUACGGCCAUACCACCCUGAACACGCCUGAUCCCAUCUGAUCUCAGAAGCUAAGCAGGGUUGGGCCUGGUUAGUGCUUGGAUGGGAGACCACCUAGGAAGACCAGGUACUGUAGGCG
This 119-nucleotide ribosomal RNA is filed under the name Pteropus alecto (black flying fox). Lineage: Eukaryota; Metazoa; Chordata; Mammalia; Chiroptera; Pteropodidae. The record is from RNAcentral.